RNAcentral lists this long non-coding RNA (410 nucleotides) under Daucus carota (carrot). RNAcentral's name for it is "long non-coding RNA (DCAR_LNC001448)". The record is from RNAcentral. Lineage: Eukaryota; Viridiplantae; Streptophyta; Magnoliopsida; Apiales; Apiaceae.
GUUUCAACUUCAUCCCAUCUUCGUUUGUCAGAUUUUGUUCCUCAAUCACCACCAAUUCUCCUCCAGAAUUCUUAGGUGGCCUACCAGGCCCUCUCUUCUGUUCCUCAAUCACCACCAAUUCUCCUCCAGAAUUCUUAGGUGGCCUACAAGGCCCUCUCUUCUGUUCCUCAAUCACCACCAAUUCUCCUCCAGAAUUCUUAGGUGGCCUACCAGGCCCUCUCUUCUGUUCCUCAAUCACCACCAAUUCUCCUCCAGAAUUCUUAGGUGGCCUACCAGGCCCUCUCUUCUGUUGCGGCUUCUCCAUGCAAUCCAUUUGAUUAUAUGAGUCAAUCACUUCCCCUUGUGCUUCUUUCUGUCUGACAUAUGUCUUACUUCCCAGAUUUUUAGGAGGCCUACCACGUCCCCUCUUC